RNAcentral lists this ribosomal RNA (426 nucleotides) under uncultured bacterium. RNAcentral's name for it is "bacterial SSU rRNA". It matches the Rfam family "Bacterial small subunit ribosomal RNA", at positions 356 to 773 of the family's 1533-position model. The record is from RNAcentral.
GGGGAAUUGUUCGCAAUGGGCGCAAGCCUGACGACGCAACGCCGCGUGGAGGAUGAAGAUCUUCGGGUCGUAAACUCCUUUCGAUCGAGACGAACGGCCCUCGGGAUAACACCCUGGGGGAGUGACGGUACCGAGAGAAGAAGCCCCGGCUAACUCCGUUCCAGCAGCCGCGGUAAUACGGGGGGGGCAAGCGUUGUUCGGAAUUACUGGGCGUAAAGGGCUCGCAGGCGGCCAACUAAGUCAUACGUGAAAUCCCUCGGCUUAACCGGGGAACUGCGUCUGAUACUGGAUGGCUUGAGUUCGGGAGAGGGAUGCGGAAUUCCAGGUGUAGCGGUGAAAUGCGUAGAUAUCUGGAGGAAUACCGGUGGCGAAGGCGGCAUCCUGGACCGACAUUGACGCUGAGGAGCGAAAGCUAGGGGAGCAAAC